RNAcentral lists this ribosomal RNA (534 nucleotides) under Alternaria alternata. RNAcentral describes it as "eukaryotic LSU rRNA". The stretch from base 160 to 313 matches the Rfam family "5.8S ribosomal RNA". Lineage: Eukaryota; Fungi; Ascomycota; Dothideomycetes; Pleosporales; Pleosporaceae. The record is from RNAcentral.
UAUGAAGGCGGGCUGGAAUCUCUCGGGGUUACAGCCUUGCUGAAUUAUUCACCCUUGUCUUUUGCGUACUUCUUGUUUCCUUGGUGGGUUCGCCCACCACUAGGACAAACAUAAACCUUUUGUAAUUGCAAUCAGCGUCAGUAACAAAUUAAUAAUUACAACUUUCAACAACGGAUCUCUUGGUUCUGGCAUCGAUGAAGAACGCAGCGAAAUGCGAUAAGUAGUGUGAAUUGCAGAAUUCAGUGAAUCAUCGAAUCUUUGAACGCACAUUGCGCCCUUUGGUAUUCCAAAGGGCAUGCCUGUUCGAGCGUCAUUUGUACCCUCAAGCUUUGCUUGGUGUUGGGCGUCUUGUCUCUAGCUUUGCUGGAGACUCGCCUUAAAGUAAUUGGCAGCCGGCCUACUGGUUUCGGAGCGCAGCACAAGUCGCACUCUCUAUCAGCAAAGGUCUAGCAUCCAUUAAGCCUUUUUCCCCCUUUUGACCUCGGAUCAGGUAGGGAUACCCGCUGAACUUAAGCAUAUCAAUAAGCGGAGGAA